Long non-coding RNA from Neltuma alba, 675 nucleotides. RefSeq lists it as uncharacterized. The transcript has 3 exons. Lineage: Eukaryota; Viridiplantae; Streptophyta; Magnoliopsida; Fabales; Fabaceae. The record is from RefSeq and is a predicted model, not a curated record.
GGAUCACCUUCUUCCCUUCCCACUAUUCUGUUUUCUGAGCUUGAGGAGGGGGGCUGUCCGAGGGAAAAUCGAAGCUCUGAGCUCCCUCGAGCUCUUGAAGAUCAUAGAGGGCGAAAGGGGGGGAGAAACCAAGACAUGCCCAAUUAUUUUCAAGCUUCGUGAGUGAUUUUUGGCUUCAUUUGAAUGAUGAAGGAUGUAGCAUCCUGGUCUGCUGAGCUUAGUCAUAACGUUGCGAGUUCAGGCUUUUUCCUCAAGGAUUUGCAUUUUUAGGUUGCAAAUUAUGCUAGAAAAGUUAAAUUAUGGAGAUAACUAUAGAUCAAAGGCAGAACAGGAGGAUUUAUUGAGGCCGAAGAGAGAAGCAACGAUUCACAACCACUUUGGCAAACCAGUAAACCCUGUUUAGUAUUUAUAUAGACCACAAGCUUUAAACAGGAUGUGAGCUGAUGUUCCCUAAAAUGGGCCUGUGGACUGUACCGAUGGAUAAUCAGAUACAACUUAUUUAGUGUUUAGACUGUUAGUGUUACGGUUGAUUAAGGUUAGGAUUGCUUGCUUGGGGUCUCAUGCUACUACUGGCUUUUCUGUAUGUGCUAUUUUUAUGUUCAUUUAAUUUGUGAUGGUGUUUGUGUUCUCUGCAGCCCGAUGUACAAAAGCAAAUCAAGAUAGCACGAUUCUUUG